AACAAGGCGUACCUGCGGACCUGCGGAGGGAUCAUUACGAGAGUGUCACCACUCCCAACCCAUUGUUUACCUACCCGUCCACCGUGCUUCGGCAGGCAGCCCUGUGGGACAGAGCCUCGCCCCCUUUCGCGGGGGGUGCCUGCCGCUUGCCAACCAAAACUCUAGCUGUUUUAGUACCAUCUGAGUCUUCCACAAAUGAACAAAACUUUUAACAACGGAUCUCAGAUCGGAAGAGCACAC
RNAcentral lists this unclassified non-coding RNA (240 nucleotides) under soil metagenome. Its description in RNAcentral is "partial contains 5.8S ribosomal RNA, internal transcribed spacer 2, and large subunit ribosomal RNA". The record is from RNAcentral.